This 92-nucleotide ribosomal RNA is filed under the name Klebsiella aerogenes. Its description in RNAcentral is "partial 23S ribosomal RNA". The stretch from base 1 to 80 matches the Rfam family "Bacterial large subunit ribosomal RNA", at positions 2846 to 2925 of the family's 2925-position model. The record is from RNAcentral. Lineage: Bacteria; Pseudomonadati; Pseudomonadota; Gammaproteobacteria; Enterobacterales; Enterobacteriaceae.
GAUGACGUUGAUAGGUCGGGUGUGUAAGCGUAGCGAUACGUUGAGCUAACCGAUACUAAUGAACCGUGAGGCUUAACCUUACAACGCCGAAG